This 916-nucleotide ribosomal RNA is filed under the name uncultured bacterium. Its description in RNAcentral is "bacterial SSU rRNA". It matches the Rfam family "Bacterial small subunit ribosomal RNA", at positions 246 to 1155 of the family's 1533-position model. The record is from RNAcentral.
UAGUUGGUGGGGUAAUGGCCUACCAAAGCUUCGAUCAGUAGCUGGUCUGAGAGGACGGCCAGCCACACUGGGACUGAGACACGGCCCAAACUCCUACGGGAGGCAGCAGUGGGGAAUUUUGGACAAUGGGCGCAAGCCUGAUCCAGCCAUGCCGCGUGAGUGAAGAAGGCCUUCGGGUUGUAAAGCUCUUUCAGCCGGGAAGAAAAGGUUGCGAUUAAUAAUCGCAAUUUAUGACGGUACCGGAAGAAGAAGCACSGGCUAACUACGUGCCAGCAGCCGCGGUAAUACGUAGGGUGCGAGCGUUAAUCGGAAUUACUGGGCGUAAAGGGUGCGCAGGCGGUUUUGUAAGUCAGAUGUGAAAUCCCCGGGCUUAACCUGGGAACUGCGUUUGAAACUACAAGACUAGAGUGUAGCAGAGGGGGGUGGAAUUCCAUGUGUAGCAGUGAAAUGCGUAGAGAUAUGGAAGAACACCGAUGGCGAAGGCAGCCCCCUGGGUUAACACUGACGCUCAGGCACGAAAGCGUGGGGAGCAAACAGGAUUGGAUACCCUGGUAGUCCACGCCCUAAGCGAUGUCAACUAGUUGUCGGGUCUUAAUAGACUUGGUAACGUAGCUAACGCGUGAAGUUGACCGCCUGGGGAGUACGGUCGCAAGAUUAAAACUCAAAGGAAUUGACGGGGACCCGCACAAGCGGUGGAUUAUGUGGAUUAAUUCGAUGCAACGCGAAAAACCUUACCUACCCUUGACAUGUACCGAAGCUUGCUGAGAGGUAAGUGUGCCCGAAAGGGAGCGGUAACACAGGUGCUGCAUGGCUGUCGUCAGCUCGUGUCGUGAGAUGUUGGGUUAAGUCCCGCAACGAGCGCAACCCUUGUCAUUAAUUGCCAUCAUUUAGUUGGGCACUUUAAUGAGACUGCCGG